GAAAUGCGAUAAGUAGUGUGAAUUGCAGAAUUCAGUGAAUCAUCGAAUCUUUGAACGCACAUUGCGCCCUUUGGCAUUCCGAAGGGCAUGCCUGUUCGAGCGUCAUUACGCACCCUCAAGCCCGGCUUGUGUGAUGGGCCCCGGCGUCUCGUUCGCGAGACGGGCCCGAAAGGCAGCGGCGGCGUCGACCCGAUGAGCCCGAGCGUAUGGGGACUUCUGUCACACGUUCGCGGUGCGGACCGGCGCCUGCUUGACUUUUCUGAUUAUCCAGGUUGACCUCGGAUCAGGUAGGGAUACCCGCUGAACUUAAGC
This 312-nucleotide unclassified non-coding RNA is filed under the name plant metagenome. RNAcentral's name for it is "partial contains 5.8S ribosomal RNA, internal transcribed spacer 2, and large subunit ribosomal RNA". The stretch from base 1 to 105 matches the Rfam family "5.8S ribosomal RNA", at positions 50 to 154 of the family's 154-position model. The record is from RNAcentral.